CUCAUGUCUCCAGAAACCAGCUGCGGCCGAUAAUGAGCCAAAGCCGUGUGUCCUCGACUCACAGGAGUAUUACAUAUGGAAUUGUCAGGACGACAGAGCAGCUAAUAAUUCAUACAGAUAUACUUGCAUACCACAGUGAGGAAACACAGUGUGUCGAAAUCCAAAUUCUCAAUCAAUGACAGGAUUCUGGGAUUAAAGGUUGUUUUUCUCUGGACUCAUCUGAAAUACCAGUGUGUGUCUCUCCAUCACGACGUCAGCCGUGAACGAGGAACAUGCUGAUCACAUCAACAUGUCUUCCUGGUCUCCACACUGCAUCCCACGCUUUUGGAAAUUAUUGUUUUCAGAGAGGAAAUUCCUGCUGAAUGAACUUCA
Cynoglossus semilaevis (tongue sole) is the source of this 372-nucleotide long non-coding RNA. RefSeq lists it as uncharacterized. The transcript is spliced from 3 exons. The record is from RefSeq and is a predicted model, not a curated record. Lineage: Eukaryota; Metazoa; Chordata; Actinopteri; Pleuronectiformes; Cynoglossidae.